UACAGAGGUCUCAAGCGUUGUUCGGAAUCACUGGGCGUAAAGGGUGCGUAGGCGGCGGGGAAAGUCAGAUGUGAAAUCCGGAGGCUCAACCUCCGAAUGGCAUCCGAUACUCCCUCGCUAGAGAUUUGUAGAGGAGCUUGGAAUUCUCGGUGUAGCAGUGAAAUGCGUAGAUAUCGAGAAGAACGCUCGCAGCGAAGGCGAAGCUCUGGGCAAAUUCUGACGCUGAUGCACGAAGGCUAGGGGAGCAAACGGG
This 253-nucleotide ribosomal RNA is filed under the name uncultured bacterium. RNAcentral's name for it is "partial 16S ribosomal RNA". It matches the Rfam family "Bacterial small subunit ribosomal RNA", at positions 524 to 776 of the family's 1533-position model. The record is from RNAcentral.